GACCUUCUAAUACAUGCUAGUAGACGAAAGCCAUGGAUUGAAGAAUUCAUAGUUUAGCAAGUAUGCGAACAGGUGAGUAAACCCGGGCCCCAAACCUUUGAGCUGGCCCGGAGUCGUAUUAGGUAGAGGGCGGUGUAACGGACCGUCUUGCCGAAAAUGCGCCGCUUUUAACCCGAAGCCACACUUUCACUGAAACAAGGGGAAGACUCAGAAUGUCCUUUUGGGCGAGGCAGCAGUAGAGAAUCUUGUGCAAUAUACGAAAGUAUGACACAGAGAGCACACCCAUCUAGUCUGUCAAAUUAAGUGCCAGCAGACGCGGUUAGACUUAAGGGCUAGCCUUUAUAGGUAAAAAGGCGUAAAGGGUGUGUAGGCCCCAUUAGAACCUUAAGAGGGUAAAUGAAAUUUUUCUGUAGCGGUAGAAUGUGUAGAUAGAAAAUAGAACCCCAAAGGCUAAGGCAAUUUACCUCAGAGAUACCUUGGGGCUGAAAUACGAAAGUGUGGGGAGCAAACAGGAUUAGAGACCCUGGUAGUCCACACUGUAAACGAUGAAGAAAAUGUUAGGCAGCACCGAAAGGUAAAGUCUUCCGCCUGAGUAGUACGGUCGCAAGACUAAAAUUCAAAGAAUUUGACUGUUCACUGUUUCGGUUAGAGGAGCGUGUAGUUUAAUUCGAUAAUCCGCGAGAGACCUUACCCAAACUCGAACCGGUAGACCGGUAUUGCAUGGCCGUCGUCAGUUCGUGUGUGAAACCUAAAACGGACUCAACCCAAGGGGAUGUUUCUCGGAUGAAGUCAGGUCUUAUGAUCCUAAUGUUUGGGGAUUAUAUGCGCUACAUUUUCUUAUACAACGGGAAACCCGGACGGUGAAACCUAAAAGUAAGAGUUCGGAAGGUAGCUGGAAUACGACCGAAAGUAGGAUUUAAUAGUAAUCGGAAAGUAGAGCGUUCCGGUGAAUGGAUGCAAGUGUUAGUACAAAUCGCCCGUCACCUUUGCCUAGGACGAUAGCUCGGAAGCCGCCCAGCUGUGGCGGUUACGAAUGUCUACGAGGUUGAGCAAGUCGUAACAUAGUGAGGGAGGGGGAACCUUCCCUUG
This 1089-nucleotide ribosomal RNA is filed under the name Tylopathes sp. n. NB-2020. RNAcentral's name for it is "12S ribosomal RNA". It matches the Rfam family "Bacterial small subunit ribosomal RNA". The record is from RNAcentral. Lineage: Eukaryota; Metazoa; Cnidaria; Anthozoa; Antipatharia; Antipathidae.